This 502-nucleotide ribosomal RNA is filed under the name uncultured bacterium. RNAcentral's name for it is "partial 16S ribosomal RNA". It matches the Rfam family "Bacterial small subunit ribosomal RNA", at positions 30 to 523 of the family's 1533-position model. The record is from RNAcentral.
AUUGAACGCUGGCGGUAUGCUUAACACAUGCAAGUCGAACGGCAGCACGGUAUGUAGCACUACAUAUGGGUGGCAAGUGGAGGACGGGUGAGUAACGCGUAGGAAUCUGCCCUCAAGCGGGGGACCACCCGAGGAAACUCGGGCUAAUACCGCAUAAACUCGGACGAGAACAGCUGGGGUAACCUGACACUUGCGGAGGAGCCUGCGUCGGAUGAGCUAGUUGGUAGGGUACAGGCCUACCAAGGCGAUGAGCAGUAGCUGGUCUGAGAGGAUGGCCAGCCACACUGGAACUGAGACACGCUCCAGACUCCUACGGGAGGCAGCAGUGGGGAAUAUUGGACAAUGGGGGAAACCCUGAUCCAGCAAUACCGCGUGUGUGAAGAAGGCCUUCGGGUUGUAAAGCACUUUAGUUGGGGAGGAAGGUUAGCAGUUUAAGAGAUGGCUAAUUUGACUGUACCCAAAGAAUAAGCACCGGCUAACUCUGUGCCAGCCGCCGCGGUAA